UUGCGCAGUUUGCGUGCGGUUUUCGGAGCUAAAGGACGCAGCAGCGGCAACGCCAACGGAUAAGCCAAGCGCCAACGAAUCAUACUAGCAAAAAAAAAAAAUAACAAAAAAAAAAACAGAAAAAGAAAAUCAACAACAACAACAGCCUGCUAAGCAAAACUAUUGUGAACUGAGUGUGUGAUUGUGAUUGGCACGCAAAGGCUGCGCAAGGACCCUUGGAUUACCUUGCGGGGCCCAAAACGAAAAUAGAAGAGGCAGUCGACGAAGAAGAAGAAGAGGGCGAAUAGCAUCACCAGCAGCAGAGCAGCAGCAACAUCUUUUGCCGAGAACGACGCCCGCCGG
RNAcentral lists this small RNA (342 nucleotides) under Drosophila mojavensis. RNAcentral describes it as "GI26584". The record is from RNAcentral. Lineage: Eukaryota; Metazoa; Arthropoda; Insecta; Diptera; Drosophilidae.